AGAAUCAACGCUGGCGGCGUGCCUAACACAUGCAAGUCGCACGAGAAAGGGUAGCAAUACCUGAGUACAGUGGCGCACGGGUGAGUAACACGUGAAUAAUCUACCUCCGAGUGGGGAAUAACUGAGAGAAAUCUUAGCUAAUACCGCAUAACACUUACGAGUCAAAGCAGCAAUGCGCUUGGAGAGGAGUUCGCGGCAGAUUAGUUAGUUGGCGGGGUAAUGGCCACCAAGACGAUGAUCUGUAUCCGGCCUGAGAGGGCGCACGGACACACUGGAACUGAAACACGGUCCAGACUCCUACGGGAGGCAGCAGUGGGGAAUUUUGCGCAAUGGGGGAAACCCUGACGCAGCAACGCCGCGUGGAGGAUGAAUAUCUUGGUAUGUAAACUCCUUUCGAUGGGGAAGAUUAUGACGGUACCCAUAGAAGAAGCCCGGCUAACUUCGUGCCAGCAGCCGCGGUAA
Molecule: ribosomal RNA, 462 nt
Filed under: uncultured bacterium
Lineage: Bacteria
Description: SSU rRNA
Rfam family: Bacterial small subunit ribosomal RNA
Source: RNAcentral